UAAGGAGGAUGCGAGCGUUAUCCGGAUUUAUUGGGUUUAAAGGGUGCGUAGGCGGAUUUGUAAGUCAGCGGUAAAAAUGCGGUGCUCAACGCCGUAUCGCCGUUGAAACUGUGUCCCUUGAGUGCGCGAAGGGUAGGCGGAAUGCGUGGUGUAGCGGUGAAAUGCAUAGAUAUCACGCAGAACUCCGAUCGCGAAGGCAGCCUACCGGCGCGCAACUGACGCUCAUGCACGAAAGCGUGGGUAUCGAACAGG
This 252-nucleotide ribosomal RNA is filed under the name uncultured Bacteroidales bacterium. RNAcentral describes it as "partial 16S ribosomal RNA". It matches the Rfam family "Bacterial small subunit ribosomal RNA", at positions 524 to 776 of the family's 1533-position model. The record is from RNAcentral. Lineage: Bacteria; Pseudomonadati; Bacteroidota; Bacteroidia; Bacteroidales.